AGUAAAGUCAGCUAACCAAGCUCUCGGGCCCAUACCCCGAAAAUGGUGGUUUAAGUCCAUCCUGUACUA
Molecule: transfer RNA, 69 nt
Filed under: Peltocephalus dumerilianus (big-headed amazon river turtle)
Lineage: Eukaryota; Metazoa; Chordata; Testudines; Podocnemididae
Description: tRNA-Met
Rfam family: tRNA
About the family: Transfer RNA (tRNA) molecules are approximately 80 nucleotides in length. Their secondary structure includes four short double-helical elements and three loops (D, anti-codon, and T loops).
Source: RNAcentral